CAAAAGGCCUAAUUCUGACAC
This 21-nucleotide non-coding RNA is filed under the name Arabidopsis thaliana (thale cress). Lineage: Eukaryota; Viridiplantae; Streptophyta; Magnoliopsida; Brassicales; Brassicaceae. The record is from RNAcentral.